ACGGCCAUACCAUGCUGAAUAUAUCGGUUCUCGUUAGAUCACCGAAGUCAAGCAGCAUUGGGCGCGGCCAGUACUUGCGGUGGGUGACCCACUACAAA
This 98-nucleotide ribosomal RNA is filed under the name Caerostris extrusa. Lineage: Eukaryota; Metazoa; Arthropoda; Arachnida; Araneae; Araneidae. The record is from RNAcentral.